This 358-nucleotide ribosomal RNA is filed under the name Desmarestia anceps. RNAcentral's name for it is "nuclear rRNA". The record is from RNAcentral. Lineage: Eukaryota; Phaeophyceae; Desmarestiales; Desmarestiaceae.
GACACCACUCGCCCGCCUCUCUUUUUUUCCUUCCCCUAACCUGGAAGCGACAAGGGGUGGCGAGCGGACUCUGCGUGUUCCGGAGCAACUCUCCGACGCCUUCAUUGCGCGUCGGGAAGACCCUCCGAGUGCACCUAAUCUCGUGAACGAAACCUCUCUUCUGCCCGCGGCCCUUGGGUUGCGCAGAGUUGUUGACGGCGCUCGUGCCCCUGUUCAUUUUACAGGGGUGCGGCGACUCUCGGCUCGAUCAAAAGCGCGACCCGGCGUCCUCCGUGGUGGAAAGAAAAGGGUGGUUUGUUGUUGUUUUUUUCCGGCGGGGCGGCCCCSUGGCUCCUCGGCGUUUUACUACUUUCGUUCG